Molecule: long non-coding RNA, 1155 nt
Filed under: Brassica napus (rape)
Lineage: Eukaryota; Viridiplantae; Streptophyta; Magnoliopsida; Brassicales; Brassicaceae
Description: long non-coding RNA (BNAP_LNC011506)
Source: RNAcentral
UCGGAAUAGAGCCUGAAUUAAAACAGAGUUAUGGAACUGAGCGAUUUUUUUUUCCGUUGAAGAGAAAACGAAAGCUCAGAAAAAAAAAGAUUAAAAUUCCCAAAAAAAACGUGAGAGAAUGAUGGAAAGAUCUGACAAAUUUUUUCACGGUAGAGAGGUAAUUAGUUGAAUAGCCUCCAGAGAGAGAAAGUUCCAUCUUCUCCCUUAAAACUCAGCUUCUCUUCUCAGAUUUGGUUAAGACUGGCGUGCUUGGACUUACACAGCCACGACGACGGUCUUAAUCUUUCCUUUAGCUUGCUUUUGUUCUUGAUUUUCUCGUGUUUGACAGAGAUUUUUUUCUGAGUAGUUGUUUGGUUGCGGUGGAAGAGGUUCCCGAAGAGAUCUCCAGCCAGAGCUAACAGAUAUAAUUGAUUAUGACAAAGAAGACGCCGGAUCUUGUAGAGGUACGGAGAAGUUCACCUGCAAACGUCUUCUUCUCUGUUUUUUACUUAGCUCCUUGUAAGAUUUUGUUUGUCCGGUGACCAAAUCCAUCAACUCACUCCAUGUUUUGAGAUCUUUACUCGGGUCAGAUGUGUUUAUAGCUUCAAAAAGGCUGAAUCUGAGGCGUCCUUGUCUGGAUUUUAGUGUUUAUCUUUCUUUACCUUUGUUCUAGCUUCGGUGCGAGAUAGUGGUGUGAUGGUGUGUGGAGAGUAGAACAUGUCUAACAUCUCUGAGAAGUUUCAGGUUGCUUGUCCCAUUCUAGGAAAGAGUCAUUCUCGCGGCCACUGAAUAAGUGUAUUAUCCGGUUUGUCUUUUGCUCUUGUGUUCCUCAGUGGCUUCGUAUGGUUGGAGCAUUAUAAUGAGGUUGAGGGUAUUAAGAUUUCUGAUGAAGGUUUGUUUGAGGAGGGAGCUUAUCCCCAAUUGUUGUUCUUCUCUGGUUGGUUUCUGAUGUUAUUCGUAUUGGUUCUGGCUUGGUACCAUGAACUGAAGGUUCAAGUAAGUUUGGUUUUGUUUCGUUGUUAUGGCCACUGCAUCGUUUCCUCUCUCGUUAAGAGUUUCGGCUGUUCAAAAGUGUAGAAAGAUUAAUAUUAUUUUCCUUUGUCAAGGACUGUCUUUAGCUUUGGUUAUAUGAGUCUAGAGUUGAUGUAGCGGAAGCUUUAUAGGAUAGAACUAGAA